Hydra vulgaris (swiftwater hydra) is the source of this 675-nucleotide non-coding RNA. Lineage: Eukaryota; Metazoa; Cnidaria; Hydrozoa; Anthoathecata; Hydridae. The record is from RefSeq and is a predicted model, not a curated record.
UUAACAAUCAAAGGCCAGGGACAAGCCUCAAUCAACAGAGCCUUCAAUUUUACAAGGAAAAUGGCUCGCAAUCACUAGAUGCACUAGUAGAGUAACUUAUUGCAGUUGCACUUAUGACGGAAACAGAGCAAAUUGAGUAAGAGAUUUGGAAGGAAAUAUUGACACAGCAAUUUGAUGAGUAUUAGACAGAGAACGAUAUUUAAAGAAUUGUAGUCCUAUUAUCAGAUGGAAACUGUUUGAGAUUUUAUUAUCACGUUAUAUCAUUUCUUCAAUAAAAAUGAAUGACUAAUUAUUAGACCAGGUAAACAAAAGUAUUCAUCACGACAAAAUGCAAACUGCAAAAUGCAUGGGAAAAAAAAGAAGAGAUGAAAGUCUUCGUUAAAUGUACUGGAAACAUUUGUAAUGUAAAAAAGUUGAGGGAAUGCUUAAAAUGCCACAGUAUUAUGAAAUCCUAAUGCAGCAAGUUAAGAUCGCGUGUUGAUGGAAAAACCUACAAUGAUUUUUCAUGCUCCAGUUUUGCAAAGAGCAGUGACAAAUCGAACAAAUAGCUUAUUUAACGCAGAUAUAGAGAAAAAUAAAAAAUUUAUGAAUAUUAAAUUAAUGUAUAACUUAAACAUUCUUCUAAAAUGCUAUGCUUCAUUUAUAAUGUCAUGUUAUAAUAAACAUUCUAGUUGA